UGCACGUUAAUGGUAUAUUCUUGUUGAGACUGAAUCUAAGUGGUCUAAUGCAAGCAUUCGUUCCUAACACUGAGACAACAAUGCA
Molecule: small nucleolar RNA, 85 nt
Organism: Nycticebus coucang (slow loris)
Lineage: Eukaryota; Metazoa; Chordata; Mammalia; Primates; Lorisidae
Product: small nucleolar RNA SNORD70
Exons: 1
Source: RefSeq, a predicted model, not a curated record